Molecule: ribosomal RNA, 459 nt
Filed under: uncultured bacterium
Lineage: Bacteria
Description: partial 16S ribosomal RNA
Rfam family: Bacterial small subunit ribosomal RNA
Source: RNAcentral
CCUACGGGAGGCAGCAGUGAGGAAUAUUGGUCAAUGGUCUGGAGACUGAACCAGCCAAGCCGCGUGAGGGAUGAAGGUACAGAGUAUCGUAAACCUCUUUUGUCAGGGAACAAAGGCGGGGACGCGUCCCCGGAUUAGUGUACCUGGAGAAAAAGCAUCGGCUAACUCCGUGCCAGCAGCCGCGGUAAUACGGAGGAUGCGAGCGUUAUCCGGAUUUAUUGGGUUUAAAGGGUGCGCAGGCGGGCCUUUAAGCCGGCGGUGAAAUCGCGGGGCUCAACCCCGCCGCGCCGUCGGAACUGGGGGCCUUGAGUGCGGGGGAGGCAUGCGGAAUGCGUGGUGUAGCGGUGAAAUGCAUAGAUAUCGCGCAGAACCCCGAUUGCGAAGGCAGCGUGCCGUGCCGCCACUGACGCUGAGGCACGAAAGCGCGGGGAUCGAACAGGAUUAGAUACCCGGGUAGUC